UAUUCGUUUUGGUUAAUUUGACACAUUUUGUUUAUUCAUGCGAUUUGUACGUCUUAAUUUCUUAGUAUAUUAUAAUAAUAUACUAUCAUAACUUACUAGAUCUAUGAACUUGUCAACAUUUAUUGUGUUUUAAAUAAUAACAUUGAUAUUAAAUAUCCAUAAUCAAUGUGAAUACCGAGAUGGAGUUUUGCUCAAGUGACAAAUCUAUAAAACCUAAAACCUUACUUAUAAAAUGUAUGCACAUCAAAUGUCAAAAUUAAAGUAUUAUGUCUUUGUUCUGAGAAACUUAUAAAUGUGUAGUUUUGUGUUUUACUAUAUUGGUAUCUGAAUUCAAAGAAAAAAUAUAAAAUUUUUUAUGAAAAAAUUGAAUCUUCAAUCAUCGUUUACUGAAUCAAUAAUAGUAUGUUCAAUAUUAAUAUGGACUAUCUCAACUUACAUUGAUAUUUGUUAUUGUCUACAACUACACUACUACCAACGUCAAAUUUGGUGUAUUAUAUUAUUGUAGUCAAUCAGUCUAAACCAAUUCCAUCAAUACAUUGUCGAAUGUUGUGGUAUUCAAUUUUCAGUAAAUUUAUAGGUGUUUUAUUUUAAGUUACUGUGGCACACUAUUGCAGAU
Adelges cooleyi (spruce gall adelgid) is the source of this 616-nucleotide long non-coding RNA. RefSeq lists it as uncharacterized. The record is from RefSeq and is a predicted model, not a curated record. Lineage: Eukaryota; Metazoa; Arthropoda; Insecta; Hemiptera; Adelgidae. The transcript is spliced from 4 exons.